CCACUAUUUCAACUCGAGGCCUUCAUUUCAUGCAGGAAUGAAUCUCCUACAGACACUUAUUAGCAUGGCUGCUGAUACGCACACUAAGUGUGAGCAGUAAUCAAGAUGGUUACAUUACGCAAAUAACUCAUGGACAGUGUAAGUAAAAAUGGGCUCAAAAGUUAUAUUAUUUUUCACGGUCAUUGCUAUUGGACGUAAAUUGUGAAUUUGCUACUUGAG
Molecule: non-coding RNA, 219 nt
Organism: Pelobates cultripes (western spadefoot toad)
Lineage: Eukaryota; Metazoa; Chordata; Amphibia; Anura; Pelobatidae
Source: the annotation of a GenBank genome assembly